GGCUACCAUGCAAGUCGAGGGGCAGCAUUUCAGUUUGCUUGCAAACUGGAGAUGGCGACCGGCGCACGGGUGAGUAACACGUAUCCAACCUGCCGAUAACUCGGGGAUAGCCUUUCGAAAGAAAGAUUAAUACCCGAUGGNAUAAUCAGACCGCAUGGUCUUAUUAUUAAAGAAUUUCGGUUAUCGAUGGGGAUGCGUUCCAUUAGGCAGUUGGUGAGGUAACGGCUCACCAAACCUUCGAUGGAUAGGGGUUCUGAGAGGAAGGUCCCCCACAUUGGAACUGAGACACGGUCCAAACUCCUACGGGAGGCAGCAGUGAGGAAUAUUGGUCAAUGGGCGCAGGCCUGAACCAGCCAAGUAGCGUGAAGGAUGACUGCCCUAUGGGUUGUAAACUUCUUUUAUAUGGGAAUAAAGUUUUCCACGUGUGGAAUUUUGUAUGUACCAUAUGAAUAAGGAUCGGCUAACUCCGUGCCAGCAGCCGCGGUAAUACGGAGGAUCCGAGCGUUAUCCGGAUUUAUUGGGUUUAAAGGGAGCGUAGGUGGACAGUUAAGUCAGUUGUGAAAGUUUGCGGCUCAACCGUAAAAUUGCAGUUGAUACUGGCUGUCUUGAGUACAGUAGAGGUGGGCGGAAUUCGUGGUGUAGCGGUGAAAUGCUUAGAUAUCACGAAGAACUCCGAUUGCGAAGGCAGCUCACUGGACUGCAACUGACACUGAUGCUCGAAAGUGUGGGUAUCAAACAGGAUUAGAUACCCUGGUAGUCCACACAGUAAACGAUGAAUACUCGCUGUUUGCGAUAUACAGUAAGCGGCCAAGCGAAAGCAUUAAGUAUUCCACCUGGGGAGUACGCCGGCAACGGUGAAACUCAAAGGAAUUGACGGGGGCCCGCACAAGCGGAGGAACAUGUGGUUUAAUUCGAUGAUACGCGAGGAACCUUACCCGGGCUUAAAUUGCAUUUGAAUANUNUGGAAACAGGNUAGCCGCAAGGCAAAUGUGAAGGUGCUGCAUGGUUGUCGUCAGCUCGUGCCGUGAGGUGUCGGCUUAAGUGCCAUAACGAGCGCAACCCUUAUCUUUAGUUACUAACAGGUCAUGCUGAGGACUCUAGAGAGACUGCCGUCGUAAGAUGUGAGGAAGGUGGGGAUGACGUCAAAUCAGCACGGCCCUUACGUCCGGGGCUACACACGUGUUACAAUGGGGGGUACAGAAGGCAGCUACCUGGUGACAGGAUGCUAAUCCCAAAAGCCUCUCUCAGUUCGGAUCGAAGUCUGCAACCCGACUUCGUGAAGCUGGAUUCGCUAGUAAUCGCGCAUCAGCCAUGGCGCGGUGAAUACGUUCCCGGGCCUUGUACACACCGCCCGUCAAGCCAUGAAAGCCGGGGGUACCUGAAGUACGUAACCGCAAGGAGCUCCUAGNA
This 1410-nucleotide ribosomal RNA is filed under the name bacterium NLAE-zl-P357. Its description in RNAcentral is "bacterial SSU rRNA". It matches the Rfam family "Bacterial small subunit ribosomal RNA". The record is from RNAcentral.